GAAAUGCGAUAAGUAAUGUGAAUUGCAGAAUUCAGUGAAUCAUCGAAUCUUUGAACGCACAUUGCGCCCCUUGGUAUUCCAUGGGGCAUGCCUGUUCGAGCGUCAUUUGUACCCUCAAGCUCUGCUUGGUGUUGGGUGUUUGUCCCCGUCUCCGCGCGUGGACUCGCCCCAAAGUGAUUGGCAGCCGGCGUACUGGUCCCGGAGCGCAGCACAUGUCGCGCAAACGAGUGCCUUGGUACGGCGGCGUCCAUAAGCCCCUCUCUCACGCUCUUGACCUCGGAUCAGGUAGGGAUACCCGCUAAACUUAAGC
This 310-nucleotide unclassified non-coding RNA is filed under the name plant metagenome. RNAcentral describes it as "partial contains 5.8S ribosomal RNA, internal transcribed spacer 2, and large subunit ribosomal RNA". The stretch from base 1 to 105 matches the Rfam family "5.8S ribosomal RNA", at positions 50 to 154 of the family's 154-position model. The record is from RNAcentral.